RNAcentral lists this ribosomal RNA (705 nucleotides) under Roseovarius sp. Its description in RNAcentral is "bacterial SSU rRNA". It matches the Rfam family "Bacterial small subunit ribosomal RNA", at positions 44 to 796 of the family's 1533-position model. Lineage: Bacteria; Pseudomonadati; Pseudomonadota; Alphaproteobacteria; Rhodobacterales; Roseobacteraceae. The record is from RNAcentral.
AAGCCUACACAUGCAAGUCGAGCGAGAUCUUCGGAUCUAGCGGCGGACGGGUGAGUAACGCGUGGGAACGUACCCUCUUCUGCGGGAUAGCCACUGGAAACGGUGAGUAAUACCGCAUACGCCCUUCGGGGGAAAGAUUUAUCGGAGGAGGAUCGGCCCGCGUUGGAUUAGGUAGUUGGUGGGGUAAUGGCCUACCAAGCCUACGAUCCAUAGCUGGUUUUAGAGGAUGAUCAGCCACACUGGGACUGAGACACGGCCCAGACUCCUACGGGAGGCAGCAGUGGGGAAUCUUAGACAAUGGGCGCAAGCCUGAUCUAGCCAUGCCGCGUGAGUGACGAAGGCCUUAGGGUCGUAAAGCUCUUUCGCCUGUGAUGAUAAUGACAGUAGCAGGUAAAGAAACCCCGGCUAACUCCGUGCCAGCAGCCGCGGUAAUACGGAGGGGGUUAGCGUUGUUCGGAAUUACUGGGCGUAAAGCGCACGUAGGCGGAUUGGAAAGUAUGGGGUGAAAUCCCAGGGCUCAACCCUGGAACGGCCUCAUAAACUUCCAGUCUGGAGUUCGAGAGAGGUGAGUGGAAUUCCGAGUGUAGAGGUGAAAUUCGUAGAUAUUCGGAGGAACACCAGUGGCGAAGGCGGCUCACUGGCUCGAUACUGACGCUGAGGUGCGAAAGUGUGGGGAGCAAACAGGAUUAGAUACCCUGGUAGUCC